Molecule: ribosomal RNA, 420 nt
Filed under: Triticum aestivum (bread wheat)
Lineage: Eukaryota; Viridiplantae; Streptophyta; Magnoliopsida; Poales; Poaceae
Description: partial small subunit ribosomal RNA
Source: RNAcentral
CAGAAUGGCAAAUUUUUAGUCAAAUCUAUGUAUGAUACAAUGGUCCAUUCUGAUAUUCCAGUUGAUAACAGAAAUUUAUGGAAACUAAAAAUUCCUCUAAAAGUGAAGAUUUUCCUCUGGUUUCUAAACAAAGGAGUCAUCCUAACUAGAGAUAAUCUGGCACGGCGACGAAACUGGCAUGGGUUCAAGACAUGUGUCUUUUGCCAACAUGACGAGUUUAUCAAAGACUUAUUUUUUGAGUGCAAGUUCACUCGGGCAGUUUGGGCCAUGGUCCAAGUAGCUUCGAAUUUAUACCCAUCAUGUAGUACAUGUAAUAUGUUCGGCAACUGGUUGCGGGUAUUGAUAAACAAUUUUCUGCACAUAUUCUUGUGGGAGCAGCAGCCUUAUGCUGGGCAAUGUGGCUUACCAGGAAUGAUGUGA